This is a long non-coding RNA of Mus musculus (house mouse), 1046 nucleotides long. RefSeq annotates it as predicted gene, 39916. The record is from RefSeq and is a predicted model, not a curated record. Lineage: Eukaryota; Metazoa; Chordata; Mammalia; Rodentia; Muridae. The transcript has 3 exons.
UCUCCAGCUCCUCUUCAUUUUUUAAAAAAUGUAUUCUUAAAUAGGUUUAAAUUGUAUGUGUGAAUAUUUUUUAUUGGAAACAGGAUUUUACUGUGUAGCUCUUGGAAUUAACUAUGCAGGCGAGGCUGAACUCAAACUGCCUCUGCUUCCUGAAUACUGAAAUUAUAAGCAUGCACACCACCACCCACAGCCCUAGUCACUUCUUAAAGUUAUAUUUUUACUGCUUUUACAUUAUAUGUGGCUGUGUAUUAUUUACGUUAUCUGGUAUGUGCCUAUGGGUGUAGGUGACUGAGUUCUGAAAAGGGUAACAGAUUCCUAAGAGGUGGAGUCACAGGCAGUUGGGAUCUGGCCAUUGUGGCUGCUAAUAACUAUCUCAGCUCUGUUGGAAGAACAACAAGAGUACUUAACACUGAGCCAUCUUCCCCAGACACCUUAGCUAGUUUUGUUGUUUUGUUAACUGAACACUGUAAGUAGGAAUAUUACUGAGACUCUGGAUUCUGUUCCCAUCUCUGAAAAGUGCCAAUUCUUGUUUCAGCAGCUUUCCAAUGAGCCUGCAUUUGUGUCUGGUGUGUGUGGAGUGCAGAAGAGGACACUGGAGCCUAUAGAACUGGAAUUGUGUGAACCAACAUCAUUACGUUUUCCAAGGCCAGACCCAAUUUGUUGGGAAUUCUCCAAAGUCCACCUCCUUGGAGCCACAGGACCAGCUGAGGAACAGAAGUUUCCAGUGUCAGCCAUCCUGGAAGUAACACCUUCCCUCACAAGUUUUAUUUGGUUAAGACAAGGUCUUACUCUAUGUCUGGAUGGCCUGAAACUAUAUAACCCAGUUGGCCUGGACCUUGAGUUUCCCUUACCUCAGCCUCCCAAAUGCUGGGACUACAGAGAUAUUACCUGAACUUCCAAUGCAGUUGUGCUGUGAUGUCUCCAUUGUGACUGCGUCUUGUUCUCUGCAAUUGACUAGUUGUGACUUUCUGUAAUGGUCUCCUGCUGCAAACAGAAGCUCCUUUUGAUGAUAGCUAAACUCAUCUGUGGGUGUAAGGGUAAGUAUU